AUGAUAUACAAAUCAUCAUAUAAAAACAUGAUCGGUUCUCCACGAAUACUAGGUUUGUCUGUAUACUGGACUGGCCAAUGUCUGUAUACUGGACUGGCCAAUGCCUGUAUACUGGACUGGCCAAUGCCUGUAUACUGGACUGGCCAAUGCCUGUAUACUGGACUGGCCAAUGCCUGUAUACUGGACUGGCCAAUGCCUGUAUACUGGACUGGCCAAUGCCUGUAUACUGGACUGGCCAAUGCCUGUAUACUGGACUGGCCAAUGCCUGUAUACUGGACUGGCCAAUGCCUGUAUACUGGACUGGCCAAUGCCUGUAUACUGGACUGGCCAAUGCCUGUAUACUGGACUGGCCAAUGUCUGUAUACUGGACUGGCCAAUGCCUGUAUACUGGACUGGCCAAUGUCUGUAUACUGGACUGGCCAAUGCCUGUAUACUGGACUGGCCAAUGCCUGUAUACUGGACUGGCCAAUGCCUGUAUACUGGACUGGCCAAUGCCUGUAUACUGGACUGGCCAAUGCCUGUAUACUGGACUGGCCAAUGCCUGUAUACUGGACUGGCCAAUGCCUGUAUACUGGACUGGCCAAUGCCUGUAUACUGGACUGGCCAAUGUCUGUAUACUGGACUGGCCAAUGCCUGUGUACUGGACUGGCCAAUGCCUGUGUACUGGACUGGCCAAUGCCUGUGUACUGGACUGGCCAAUGCCUGUAUACUGGACUGGCCAAUGCCUGUAUACUGGACUGGCCAAUGCCUGUAUACUGGACUGGCCAAUGCCUGUAUACUGGACUGGCCAAUGCCUGUGUACUGGACUGGCCAAUGCCUGUGUACUGGACUGGCCAAUGCCUGUGUACUGGACUGGCCAAUGCCUGUAUACUGGACUGGCCAAUGCCUGUAUACUGGACUGGCCAAUGCCUGUGUACUGGACUGGCCAAUGCCUGUGUACUGGACUGGCCAAUGCCUGUGUACUGGACUGGCCAAUGCCUGUGUACUGGACUGGCCAAUGCCUGUAUACUGGACUGGCCAAUGCCUGUAUACUGGACUGGCCAAUGCCUGUAUACUGGACUGGUCAAUGUCUGUAUACUGGACUGGCCAAUGCCUGUAUACUGGACUGGCCAAUGCCUGUAUACUGGACUGGCCAAUGCCUGUAUACUGGACUGGCCAAUGCCUGUACACUGGACUGGCCAAUGCCUGUACACUGGACUGGCCAAUGCCUGUAUACUGGACUGGCCAAUGCCUGUAUACUGGACUGGCCAAUGCCUGUAUACUGGACUGGCCAAUGCCUGUAUACUGGACUGGCCAAUGCCUGUAUACUGGACUGGCCAAUGCCUGUAUACUGGACUGGCCAAUGCCUGUAUACUGGACUGGCCAAUGCCUGUAUACUGGACUGGCCAAUGCCUGUAUACUGGACUGGCCAAUGCCUGUAUACUGGACUGGCCAAUGCCUGUAUACUGGACUGGCCAAUGCCUGUAUACUGGACUGGCCAAUGCCUGUAUACUGGACUGGCCAAUGCCUGUAUACUGGACUGGCCAAUGCCUGUUUGAGAUACAUCCUGAUUAUGACGUCCUAGAAAACUUAUGGUAG
Long non-coding RNA from Oncorhynchus mykiss (rainbow trout), 1578 nucleotides. NCBI's taxonomy places the organism in Eukaryota, Metazoa, Chordata, Actinopteri, Salmoniformes, Salmonidae. The record is from Ensembl.